This 30-nucleotide non-coding RNA is filed under the name Mus musculus (house mouse). The record is from RNAcentral. Lineage: Eukaryota; Metazoa; Chordata; Mammalia; Rodentia; Muridae.
CUCAUCUUUGGUGUGUUUCAUGCAUGUUUU